This 200-nucleotide long non-coding RNA is filed under the name Phoenix dactylifera (date palm). Its description in RNAcentral is "long non-coding RNA (PDAC_LNC007156)". The record is from RNAcentral. Lineage: Eukaryota; Viridiplantae; Streptophyta; Magnoliopsida; Arecales; Arecaceae.
UGGAGUGCCAUUUAAAAGUAGGCGAACCAAAGGCCAUCGUCCAUCUCCAUCACCUCAUAACACGCCGCCUGACCACGGCAGUGGAAGGGCCCAAAACCACAGAUUCGUCGCUGCUUAUAGAGGGCAUAACGCUAGAGCUUUCAUCAAGCGAAGCUUCACGAGCUCUAAAAUUAAGUGACGAGAAGGUUGCCACGUCAUCA